Phodopus roborovskii (desert hamster) is the source of this 541-nucleotide long non-coding RNA. RefSeq lists it as uncharacterized. The record is from RefSeq and is a predicted model, not a curated record. Lineage: Eukaryota; Metazoa; Chordata; Mammalia; Rodentia; Cricetidae. The transcript has 2 exons.
AGACUUUCUUGGGUAGCCUGAGGUGGGGUGCUUUAGCUGGUUUGGUUGAAGGCGGUAGGGAGCAGGAUGGGUGGAGCUUUCUGUUCCAAAAGUUCCCCCCCUCCCCUCUGCAAAUGCCGUUGACAGAGUGCAGGCGGGAAGCUUCGGCUGGGGUAGAGAUGUAGCAUCAAACAUUCAUGGAUGUCCAGGGAGCGCGGGGCUGCUGGCCAGAGGUACUAGGAAGGCACAGGCGGGAACCCGACGAGGAUUCACCUUCCCCUGCCUUGGAAAGGGGCUGCUCACAAUGUAUGCUGGACCGUGGUGAGCCCUGAGGUGAUCACAAAAGAAGCUUGCCUUGAGCCCAUCUGUCCCCCGCUGCUGUCCACAAGAUGGAGAAGGCGGAAGCAACCUGAGGAGGCGUCUUUGUCUGUAAGGAUAGAAGGUCCAUUGUGGAGGGGAGAGAUACAGGAGCUAUAUAGUCGAGGCCCUACCAGCCCUGCGUCUCUUAUCUCCAGAAUUCUUUUACAGAAAAGAAAAAUAAACUUUUAUCGGGUUUAUGCCA